AGUAUGACGUCACGAUCAAUAUAAGCGACAUCUCAAAUCACAUUUGCAUCGGUGUUAUUUUAGUGUUUGUUCUUCGAAAAAUUUCAAUAGAACUUUUGCCUUUUUUAAAUCAUGUCGGCAGGGGAUUCACUGGCCCCUGGUGCGGGGACGACGGGUACCGGCGGUGAAGAUGGCAUCGUGGGGGGACCCCGGACGCCACAACAGAUCGCGGCUCAAAGACGACUUCAACAAACGCAAGCGCAAGUCGAUGAAGUUGUCGAUAUUAUGAAAACGAAUGUAGAAAAAGUUCUCGAAAGAGAUCAGAAAUUAUCGGAAUUAGAUGAUAGAGCAGAUGCAUUACAACAAGGCGCGUCACAAUUUGAACAGCAAGCGGGUAAAUUGAAGAGAAAGUUUUGGUUACAAAAUUUAAAGAUGAUGAUAAUAAUGGGUGUAAUUGGACUUGUAAUCUUAAUAAUCAUAAUAAGUGAGUACAUCAAUUAUUUUUUCAUCUCACUAUCACCAUACCAUUUUAAACACAUAAUAUCAUAUUAUUAACGAAUGUACACAUAUUUACAAAAAAAAUCUACGUGUUAAAAUAUAUUUUUCUCAUUUUAAUGAUCACAUAACAUGAAAAUAUAUCUAUUUAAAAAUUAAAUAUUACGCGAGAAUGUGUUUAAACAUCCAGGGGACGUCCUGUAAAUAUAAAUAACGGUUACAACAACAAAAAACACGACGAUAAAUACCAAUAAAUGAUAUUUAAAUGGUUUUAUUUUUUCUUAGUGAACUUCAUGUAACUCAUCGGCCAAAAAUUCGGUAAUUCUGAAUGAAAUCUGUGUUAUUGGUGUAAAAGGCUUUCUGUCUGUCUUCCUGUCGUAGAGUACUUCAAAAAAAAUGUCUUCCCUCGUCACAAUACUUCAAUUGUAAUCUAUAAGUUCAUUAUUUUCGCAUACUGUAAGUAUUAUCAACACUCGCAAGCGGAAAACGCGUCCAUUUUGUUAAUUGUAUAUUGUGGUAACAACAGUGUUGCCAGAUAUCGCGAAAUAGAUUUAUAAAUACUUACAUUAUGGAAUUUUUGCACGGUAUUAGUUUUUUUUAUCAUGUGGCUUUGCUUGAUAUGCAUCGAUUUAGUAUAAAAAUUCGAAUGUACAGGCGUUUAAGAAAAUUCAUUGUCUAAACUACAUAAAUAUGGAAUUUUAUUAAUGAAGACAUUAUAACAAUUUUUUUUCAAAUCAAACUUAAUCUAACCUAAUAUCAUAAAGUUGCAGCAAUAACCUAACCUCAAAUAGCAUGAAGUAAUCUGACGUUUUGUCGGAAUCAGCUGAAGCCUAUUUAAAAAUGGCCACUGUGGGAUAAACAAACGCUUAUAUGUGUGGCUUUUCAAGUUAUAUGUUGGAUUUUAGAACUUAUUAUUCCCAUUUCUAUUACGAAAUGGCUUCUUAAAGAGUUACUACUUGAAUAAUAGCGGAAUUUCCUCCCGAAAAGAUGGCCGAGUUGUUUUUUUUUUUCGAAAAAGGGUACAACUCCACCUAAAGCUUUAAGUUGGAACAGUGGAAAUUAAUUUUCAAAAAAAAACUAAGUAUUCUAAAUUUUGUGAAUUGCUUAAAACAUUACCCACAAACUGACUAAAAACUAAAUGCAAAAAUACUCGACUGUGUUAGUUCCACUGAAAAUAUACAAAAAAGUAUCUAUGGAGUCCUUUCAACACCGUAAAAUAAAAAAAAAACAUAAAAAACCACCAAACUACAUGGGAAAAAUCAAGAAAAGCGAACUCGAGUACAUUCGAGAGAGAUUGUAUACCCCACAACCGCCAUUUUGACGUAGAUGAGCUGUUUUCUUAGAUUGCCUAAUGAAUUUCAACGCCGUAUAACCUAACCUCACUUGAUACGGACAUAACAAUAAUUUAAAAAAUUGAAAGUUGCAUAUUUUAUGUUUCACAAUAUAAAAUGAACAAAAAUAUUUAUAGCAAUAUACCUAUGUGUCUAAACAUAAUUUAUAUUCCUGUAGUUGCAAGGUCUACCAACUGUCUUCAGUUAAAAAUAACAACAAAACGAAUUUUUUUAAUACACUUGUAUAUUAUCAGAUUUUUUUGAAGCACGUAGUAUGCAUGGACGUAUUUAUCUAGAAAAAUCUUGUACAACUACCCAAAUAUAUUGUAAGGGACGUAGUUUUUAAAAGUAUUAUUUCGGAUAUAAUUAAUAAUUUUAGCAUACUGACAAGGCAACAUCGCAUUUUCUAAUUAAGUUCAAAGAACUUAAUCGAGCGUUAUGUAACCGGCAAUACAUUUUAUGACCUAUUAUUAAUUUUACCAAAUCUUGAGCAAAAUCAUACAUAGCUGUAUAAAGUAAUAUAAUAAAGGUCUACCUACUUGUGAAAAAAAUAUCUUCAGGUUUAAACACAUCGUUCCUACUGAAAAAACGGAAGUUGUUUCAGAAAAUAAUUUACAACACCGAAUCAGCUGUAAUAACAAACGUAAUAGCGUUGUCAGUUGACGUAUAAUCACUAAUUAAACUUCAAAUUAUAAAUAUUAAAUAUUGGUAUUAUUUAUUUUUGCACCACUUGAUGACAACAAUCCCUUUUGGAACUAAAUGCCUAUUUUAACAUCAUUUUUGUGAAAAUCUGAUUGUUUUAACACAAUCACGCCAUAGUUUCAUGACAUACACUUAACAAAGAUGUAACUCAUAUAAAUUUCAAAAUGGUGAUUCCACAGCCUCCACCGAAACUAUAAGCUGAUUCUCCCCUCCAUAUCUAUGAUUGAAAUUGUGCUGUGUAAUCUUGGUUGCCUAUUCUUCGAUCAUCGAAUAUAUAAUUUAACCAUUUUAUUUCGAGUAACGUGACGCGGAAUUGUUUUAGACACUUUUUUUUCUAUGAAAUGAAAAUAUAACACUACUACUAAUAAUAAGUUUGAUGUGAAUAACGCAAUAUUUGUGUUCCAAGACAAUACGACAGGUGGUUGUGACGUCAUCUCAAAAUGUUUUUUAUUUUUAGUUGUUGGUCAUAUGAAAAUGCCUAAAAAUGUAAACAACGAAAACUCGUAUUGUCAUAAAUAUUAAUUCAUUAACUUUUUUAUUUAUCUUUGAAAUAAUAACGUAGUAAGUUCAACAAUAUAAUUGGGUACAUGAUUAAGGAUUUAUUUGCAUGUGUGGUCGUCUAAAAACAGCCACAGUUCGGAUAAUUGGCAAAAAAAGAAAAUCUGCAAUUUAUGAAAACAAUACACCAAAAAUAAUUUAAUCUAUAAGUUGAUGAUUAGGAAAGUUGGUUGAGAUAAAAAUUCAAUUAUAAUAUAGAAGCUUGUACUUUAACCUAGAAAAAAAUAAUUUUUUUAAACAAACGAUAAUUUUAAUGUGGUUGAAUUACCAGUGUUUCUACAAAUGUAAAAAAAAGCGUAUUUAAACGAUACAUUAUAUCAAAUAAUUGCUAAUAUUUAAUAAGAAGAAAAGAAUAAAACACUUUUUUGAAUUAUAUUUUGCCCUGUAGGUAAAUAAAUACGAAAAUAUUUCAAUACAAAUGUAAUAAAAUGAAAUUCAUCUUAAAAUAGGCAAUCUUGUUUAUACAGAUUGUCCCAUAAGAUCGUUCUCGAAAUUUUUACAUAUCUGUUUGACAUUUCCAACGUCAACUGUCAGUUAUAGGUCGAAUUUAUAAUUUUGAGUCAUUACUUGAAUAUAUUCAAUAUUUAUGAUGUUUCUUAACACUUUUUAUUAACCUAUAAAAGUUUAGACUUCCUAUAAUAAUAUUUUAAGACUGAAAAUCUAAUAUACCUGAAUGUUAAAUAAACUAGGUAGUAUAUUUUCUUCUAAUAUAAUUAUAACGUAUUUAUUCUUUUCUUUUUACCUCCAAAUAAUUGAAAAUUGAUAAAUCAAGUAACAAAUACCCUAAAGAAACAAAUAAAUGCUUGUUUAUAGUUGCGUAUUUCAAAUUUCAGUCGAAUGAUCGUCAAAACCGCUCGCCUUAUCAAUUUUCUAAAAUUUCGUUCAUCUUCACCGUAAAAAAUUGCUUAUUUGAUAUUAUUUAUAAAUAAAAGUUCUAAUAAAUAAUUUGUUAAUAUAUGUCUAGCAGGUAUAUUUUUUCCAUUUUGAGAACUUGAUUAUCAAUUAUCAGAAAUGUAUCCAAUAUUAAUAAAAAUGAAUUUAUUUCGAAUAAAUUUGACAACAGCGUAAUGAUGAAUUAAUCAAAAUAAUUAUUGGCAUUAUUGAAUACAAUAAACAAUUACUUACUAUAGGUUAUGUCACUUGGUUCAAAUUUCACAAGUUCUCAAAAUUUAUAAUAAGAGACACAGUAUAUACACUAUUUUCACGAAAAAUUGAUUUUUUUAAUAAAGUUUUAUCACAAAUCACCGCCAUAAUGUAGCAAACAGACACUAGAAACUCGAAUCUACUACUAAAAACACUUUAACCUAGAAAAAUAUUGUUGACAUUUGCAAUGUUUAUUGUUCUUUAAGGUGCAUUUUCAUGUUGACGCUCGACGCUGGCUUAGUGCGUCAAAUUAGGUCACGUGAUAUAAUUUCGACUGAAGCGUCAUCUAAAUCAAUUCAACGUCAAAUAUAAGAGCGCCAAGCUUCAUAACGCUGAAAAAAAUACUAAAAUACACCACUUCUCAACAGUCUGUGAACCUAUAAACAUAAAAUGUGUGUAAUUUAUUCAAUCAUUUCUAAAUGAGUGAAUUAUUCUGAUCGAUGUAGUUUACGUAACACUAGUAAACAGCUGAUGAUAUAAAUUUAUGAAGUUUUUUGCUAUAAUGCCCGAUUUAAAGAUGUAUACAAUGUUUAGUUUUGACGCAGCACUAAUUUAAGAUGACGUUUCAGUUAAAAUUGUACCACGUGAUAUCAUUUGACGCUCUAAGCCAGUCAAGUGUCAACAUGAUAUUGUAACAUUACUAAAUAAUAUUGUUUAAAUAUAUUUCCUACUGUACAUAAUUACUAUUAACGUCACAGUUUACUAGUAAGACUAAUUGCAAGACUUUUAUACUUCUAAACAAAACUGUAACUUCUCAAAAUGUAUCUAGUGAAUUUUUUUAGCGUACUUUCAAGUUAUAUAUUUCUAUUCUUUAAAUAUAGUCAAAACAAACUAUAUAAACUCGGAAAAAAGUAGAUUCUAGUUUUGAAAAGUUUACUAUGAUUAACAAUUUUCAAUUCCUGGUGCCUUAUUUCUACCGGGAUCAUCUGACUGGCAAGCGUGGUUAGAAUGUAAAACUUACUUCAAUAUACGUUACAGAUUCUAGAUUAAUACAUUGUAUUCACGUUCACUAUAACACCCCGUAUAUUAAAAUUCACAACGAAUAAUUAAUAUAUAAUUGAAUCAACAACUAAAUAGACACUAUAACUGAAUAAUGAUUAGUUUUGGUUGUUUCCCGGUAAAAUGUCAUUUGUCGUUAUGAGAUUCGUAUAAUACUAACAGUGUUGCCGAUGUCAACACGUUUUAUCAGUAGGUGCUUCACCUUGAAUUGAAAAUUGUUUUAUUUCGUAUAACGUUUGUAGAUGCUGAAUGUAUAUAAUUUAGACGCUAAGCUGUAUUCCGGCAACGUCAGAACUUGUUAUCCAACAUUUUAAUUAUUUUUCACAUUUAUAGUUAUCACUAUUGCUUUUUUUCAAUAUUUUUUUCUAAUCGUAUCCUUGUUCAUCAGAUAUGAAUUUGGAGUGUUUUAAAUAAAAGGGUAACAUGUUCAAAUAGACAAAAAAAUCAACUUCCAAACUAUAAUGUUAGUUAAAAUAUUGGUUCGUAGGAAAGGAUGUUUAUAAAUGUAAAUAUGAACGCAUUCAUUCAAUAUUGAAAAUACCCCUCGACCCCAUAUAAUUUAUUAGUUGUUGACGAUUUUAGAAAUAUAAUAAUUUUUGUUGUAAACUUUUUUAAUUUGAUAAAAUUGUGAAAUUUCAAUUAAUAAAACAUGUGGCACUACUGUA
This is an RNA transcript of Diorhabda carinulata, 5872 nucleotides long. It is a transcript of the gene named vesicle-associated membrane protein 2, with no coding region annotated. The transcript is spliced from 5 exons. Lineage: Eukaryota; Metazoa; Arthropoda; Insecta; Coleoptera; Chrysomelidae. The record is from RefSeq and is a predicted model, not a curated record.